Molecule: ribosomal RNA, 503 nt
Filed under: uncultured bacterium
Lineage: Bacteria
Description: partial 16S ribosomal RNA
Rfam family: Bacterial small subunit ribosomal RNA
Source: RNAcentral
AUUGAACGCUGGCGGCAGGCUUAACGCAUGCAAGUCGAGCGGGGUGAUGGUGCUUGCACUAUCACUUAGCGGCGGACGGGUGAGUAAUGCUUAGGAAUCUGCCUAUUAGUGGGGGACAACAUCUCGAAAGGGAUGCUAAUACCGCAUACGUCCUACGGGAGAAAGCAGGGGAUCACUUGUGACCUUGCGCUAAUAGAUGAGCCUAAGUCGGACUAGCUAGUUGGUGGGGUAAAGGCCUACCAAGGCGACGAUCUGUAGCGGGUCUGAGAGGAUGAUCCGCCACACUGGGACUGAGACACGGCCCAGACUCCUACGGGAGGCAGCAGUGGGGAAUAUUGGACAAUGGGGGGAACCCUGAUCCAGCCAUGCCGCGUGUGUGAAGAAGGCCUUAUGGUUGUAAAGCACUUUAAGCGAGGAGGAGGCUCUUUUGGUUAAUACCCAAGAUGAGUGGACGUUACUCGCAGAAUAAGCACCGGCUAACUCUGUGCCAGCCGCCGCAGUAA